This 446-nucleotide ribosomal RNA is filed under the name uncultured bacterium. RNAcentral's name for it is "partial 16S ribosomal RNA". It matches the Rfam family "Bacterial small subunit ribosomal RNA", at positions 338 to 795 of the family's 1533-position model. The record is from RNAcentral.
CCUACGGGUGGCAGCAGUCGAGAAUCAUUCACAAUGGGGGAAACCCUGAUGGUGCGACGCCGCGUGGGGGAAUGAAGGUCUUCGGAUUGUAAACCCCUGUCAUGUGGGAGCCAAUUAAAAAGAUAGUACCACAAGAGGAAGCUACGUCGAACUCUGUGUCAGCAGCCGCGGUAAUACAGAGGUCUCAAGCGUUGUUCGGAAUCACUGGGCGUAAGGGGUGCGUCGGCUGUUUUGUAAGUCGGGUGUGAAAGGCGCGGGCUCAACCCGCGGACGGCACAUGAUACUGCGAGACUAGAGUACUGGAGGGGGAACCGGAAUUCUCGGUGUAGCAGUGAAAUGCGUAGAUAUCGAGAGGAACACUCGUGGCGAAGGCGGGUUCCUGGACAUUAACUGACGCUGAGGCACGAAGGCCAGGGGAGCGAAAGGGAUUAGAUACCCGAGUAGUC